This 484-nucleotide ribosomal RNA is filed under the name uncultured bacterium. Its description in RNAcentral is "bacterial SSU rRNA". It matches the Rfam family "Bacterial small subunit ribosomal RNA", at positions 28 to 478 of the family's 1533-position model. The record is from RNAcentral.
GACGAACGCUGGCGGCGUGCUUAACACAUGCAAGUCGAACGGGAGGAAAAGAGAAGCUUGCUUCUUUUUGAAUCUAGUGGCAAACGGGUGAGUAACACGUAAACAACCUGCCUUCAGGAUGGGGACAACAGACGGAAACGACUGCUAAUACCGAAUGUGUUCCGGAGACCGCAUGAUUUCCGGAAGAAAGGAUGGCCUCUAUUUAUAAGCUAUCGCCUGAAGAGGGGUUUGCGUCUGAUUAGGCAGUUGGUGAGGUAACGGCCCACCAAACCUACGAUCAGUAGCCGGUCUGAGAGGAUGAACGGCCACACUGGAACUGAGACACGGUCCAGACUCCUACGGGAGGCAGCAGUGGGGAAUCUUCCGCAAUGGACGAAAGUCUGACGGAGCAACGCCGCGUGAGUGAUGACAGCCUUCGGGUUGUAAAGCUCUGUGAUCGGGGACGAAUGGCUGGUAUGCUAAUACCAUAUCAGAGUGACGGUAC